GCAGAACGCGAAGAACCUUACCAGGUCUUGACAUCCUCUUGGAUACUCUAGGGAUAGGGUAGACCUUCGGGACAAGAGAGACAGGUGGUGCAUGGUUGUCGUCAGCUCGUGUCGUGAGAUGUUGGGUUAAGUCCCGCAACGAGCGCAACCCUUGAUCUUAGUUGCCAGCACUCUGGGUGGGCACUCUAGGAUGACUGCCGGUGACAAACCGGAGGAAGGUGGGGAUGACGUCAAAUCAUCAUGCCCCUUAUGACCUGGGCUACACACGUACUACAAUGGCCGGUACAACGGGCAGCGAAGGGCGACUUGGAGCCAAUCCUAAAAAGCCGGUCUCAGUUCGGAUUGCAGGCUGCAACUCGCCUGCAUGAAGUCGGAAUUGCUAGUAAUCGCGGAUCAGCAUGCCGCGGUGAAUACGUUCCCGGGUCUUGUACACACCG
This 437-nucleotide ribosomal RNA is filed under the name uncultured bacterium. RNAcentral describes it as "bacterial SSU rRNA". It matches the Rfam family "Bacterial small subunit ribosomal RNA", at positions 954 to 1392 of the family's 1533-position model. The record is from RNAcentral.